Molecule: long non-coding RNA, 791 nt
Organism: Amphimedon queenslandica
Lineage: Eukaryota; Metazoa; Porifera; Demospongiae; Haplosclerida; Niphatidae
Exons: 4
Source: RefSeq, a predicted model, not a curated record
AUAUUCUCAAGCAGAGUUUGAUCAAAACAUCACUUUUAAACUUCAGUCACCAAAAGGAUGUAUUGAAUUAAUAUUUAAUGAUGAGCAACAAACAGAACCAACAACUGGAUGGAGAAUAAAACCACAUUUGGACCCAUGUCAAAUUGAAGAGCACGAAAUACUUGGUUUUGGUGACAUUAGUACUACAAUUCCUCCAUCUUGCCUGGUAUCAAUAUAUGCUGAGAAUAGUCUCCAUACUGUACCUAACUUGAGUUAUUCUGUACCAUUGAAAGGAGUACAAAAACGAAGGAAGAUUAAAAUUAACAGGUCACUGAGAAAUUUAUUAAAUGCAGGUAAUUUUGUUGGUACUAAAGACUGAUGUUCCUAUUCCUGGUUCACAUAAUGACAUCAAGAAGCAUCUUAAUGAUCUGAAACGUUUCCUUUCAACUUCAGAAGCAAAGUUUCGUGACAUAGCUAAUGGUUGUAAGGAGGUACAAAUUAUUGAUUCUUCUCAGUAUGAUGAGUUAUUUGAUGGAAUGAAUAACCAGUCUUUAUCAAAAAGAGUAGAACUUUUCAUUGGAAAUAUUACAUUAUUAAUUGAACUUUGUCCUGAUCACAUUAGUACAUUCUUGUCUAUACUGAGGGAACAGGAUCUUGUUGUUCUUUCUACAUUAGCUGACAGGAUUGCUGCUUCAUUAAGUAGAUGAACAAGAUAAUUAUUACAGGAGCAAUGACAUUAUAAAUACUUAAUGUUUUUAUGCACUUUUUUACCUUAUGUGAUGUGUGUGUAGUUUUGUGUUUGUAUUUAACUU